Molecule: long non-coding RNA, 1976 nt
Organism: Carya illinoinensis
Lineage: Eukaryota; Viridiplantae; Streptophyta; Magnoliopsida; Fagales; Juglandaceae
Exons: 4
Source: RefSeq, a predicted model, not a curated record
UACUCAUAUAUGGGGGCAACAAAACGCACCAAAAACAAAACAUUUCCGCCUUGAUUUUGGCUUCAGUACACUCUCGAAAACCCCUCCAUUUUCUUCUUCUCCACUGAUUUCUGGCUAUCUGCAAACGAAUCCAGCACAUUACGUUGCCACACGACUUCCCUCAUCCACUGAAAACCAGCCCUAGCAACAUCGUCCACCCAUUUGGAAAUGCAUGGAAGCUAGGUCCUUCGAAUGGGGAUUGUACGGUAAAGCCAACCAUCAGCUGGGAAAAUCUGCUCCCCUUUUGGGUUCAAAAUCUAGACUUUGUGAUUUUGUAAGCCCCUAUUUCGAGAUCAACCACGCCCCUUUUCCUGCUGGCAAAGGGUUUCCCAUGUAGCCUCCUCCUCGUCCUCUCCUCCACUCGCUUCUCGCCGAUUUCAAGUCCCUCUUGCUUUUCCCAUCCAAAUAUAGACCCCAACUAUUUUUUGUUGGGCAGGGUAUUGGAGGUGGAGAUCCUUUGCGAUUCCUCGGCGAUUCUCACGCAUGCACCACAGCAAGAAAGUUAAAGAAACCUAUUUGAAAUGAUCACACCAACCAUGCAAGUCGUACAACAAAGUGCAGAUUUUAUUUUAAAUUUGGUAGCAAUAUGAGAAACAAUUGACAUGGAAUCCAAUUUGGAGCAAACUGGUAGGCAAAUGACAGAAUGUGUAAAGGAUAUUUGAGGGGUUGGGGUCGCUGUGUAAAACCUUCUCCCUCUUCCUCUUCUUCUAGGUUUGCCUCUAUGGCCUCUAUAGCGUAAGAGAAUGUGAAUCGCAGAAUCAAAGAAUUGGUUGCAAGGCAGCAUGAGUUAGAGGCUUAAUUGGCGAAGAGUAAGUCUAUACAUAAGCCCCUUAUGUCUCCAAUACCACACACCGCUAAUGUGGAUUUGCUCUUUUAUUUUUUUUAUUUUUUUUUCUACAGUAAAAUGCACUCAGCAUUUUCCUCCCCAAAUCCCUUUUCCCAAAUUAGUGCUCCAUUGGAAUUUCUAAGAGACGUUCUCCAUCCAACUUAGCCCCUCUGCCGCUUGAUUCCCGCUACCCAUACGUCGUCUGCCAUUUAUUGCAUUUAUUCUCUCUCUUUUAGACUUUAAGCCCCAUUUAGAUACCCAGAAACAUACAAGUUAAAUAUAGGGUUUCUCCCCCUUCUGUGUUUUUUUCAAGCAUUCUGAGCAAACCAGAAGAAAGGUUUGCAGGCAUGGACUCGGUGUUCUCAGCAAACCAUUAUUAAACUUUUUUCGUUUGCCUUUAUGGGUUUUGUAAACAAAAUUAGUGGUAUACUGACUGUAUGGUUGAGAAUGUUUGUUGGGCAGUGUUUGAAAUCUUCUAGGUUCUCUCUUUCACAGCCGCAGAGUCAUUUUUGGACUCCUCAUAAAGUUUUAUUUUGGUCUUUUACAAAAAUAAAAAAUACUUUGAUGGUGGUUUGAUUCUUUGCUUCUGGCUUGCCGCAUCAGUUAUCAAUCUUAUACACCUAUGGUCAUUUGUAAAUGAAUGGACAAAAGUGAGAUUUGAAAGUGGGUUUGGAUCCUGCGCUAAGGAGAAGAUGAGGGAGAAGAGAAAUGGCGUCGACUUGGUUUCGAGCUAUUUAAGUGCAAAACCGUGACAUGGCGAUCAGACCGGAUCGGUGUGUGGUGUUGGAGAGAGAACCAGCUUAUGUAUAGACUUACUCAUUGGCGAAACAAGGAGACAUGAAGACGUGCCUCAAACAACAUGAAAAACAACAAGAAGAGUUCAGGAGAGAAAUGCAACUCCAAAUGCAGCAGCUUAUCCAACAAUACAGGCCUCCAAACAACUGAUAGUUUUUUAUGUAUAGAUUAUGAGAUUAUCUAAUUAUAUACGAACAAUGCUAGUCUUACAGUUAUUUAUUAGUUCGCACUUAUUAUAAAACUUUUGUGAGUAUUAAACAGUUUCUAAUGUAUUUUUUUCAAAUAUUAUGAAAGUCUAUUUGGUUUUUUAUUAUUA